UCCCCCAUGACCAACUCCCUUGCUCGGUCGAAGAGGACGACCUUCCCCGAAUAGAGGAGGACCGGUCUUCGGUCAAGGGUAUACGAGUAACUGCGCUCCCCUGCUAGAACCUCCAAACAAGCUCUCAAAGGCAGUAUUGCUUUUU
Molecule: small RNA, 145 nt
Filed under: Mesocricetus auratus (golden hamster)
Lineage: Eukaryota; Metazoa; Chordata; Mammalia; Rodentia; Cricetidae
Description: 7SK RNA (ENSMAUG00000006526.1)
Rfam family: 7SK RNA
About the family: 7SK was discovered as an abundant small nuclear RNA in the mid-70s but a possible function has only recently been suggested. Two independent studies have found that 7SK RNA binds the CDK9/cyclin T complex (known as elongation factor P-TEFb).
Source: RNAcentral